This is a long non-coding RNA of Callithrix jacchus (white-tufted-ear marmoset), 2449 nucleotides long. The record is from Ensembl. Lineage: Eukaryota; Metazoa; Chordata; Mammalia; Primates; Cebidae.
AAGAGAGAUGUGAUGCAGGAAUGCUCAGCCUUGGUGCCUGGCACAAAAGUUAAAGUUGCUGUUGUCAUGACUGCCUCAGAAGAGAGGUGUUGGGACCCCUUUUCCUCAACCCCUAUCCCCUCCUGGGGUUGGCAGCUGGUUGGUUCUUCUAUCCACCCACCCAUCUAUCCAUUAAUUCACCCAUCCUUCCAUCCUCCUUCCCAUCUUCCAUCCAUCCCCCUAUUUCUGCCCUCCCACCCUCACUCUCUUGCAUCCCUCCAUCCACCAUCCAUCCAUCCACCAUCCAUCCAUCCACCAUCCAUCUACCAUCCAUCCAUCAGUCCAUCCACCAUCCAUCUAUUCAUCUACCAUCUACUAUCCAUCCAUCAAUCCAUCCAUCCAUCCAUCCACUAUCCAUCAUCCAUCUACCAUCCAUCAAUACAUCCACCAUCCAUCCACUAUCCAUCCACCCAUCCAUCCAUCAUCCACUAUCCAUCAAUCCACCAUCUAUCCAUCAUCCAUCAUACAUCCACCAUCCAUCCAUCCACUAUUCGUCCAUCCACCUAUCCUUCCAUCCAACAUCCAUCCAUCAUCCAUCCAACAUCCACCCAUCCAUCCAUCAUCCAUCUACCAUCCAUCAAUACAUCCACCAUCCAUCCACUAUCCAUCAUCCACCAUCCAUCCAUCUACUAUCCAUCCAUCAUCCACCAUCCAUCCAUCCACUAUCCAUCCAUCCAUUCAUCUACCAUCCAUCCAUCCACUAUCCAGCCAUCAUCUACCAUCCAUUCACCAUCCAUCCACCCAUCCAUCUACCCAUCCAUCUAUCCAUCCAUCCUUCCAUCAAUCCAUCCACCAGCCAUCAUCCAUCCAUCUAUCCAUCCUUCCAUCAAUCUAUCUACCAUCCAUCAAUCCAUCCACCAUCCAUCCAUUCACCCACCAUCCAUCCAUCACCCAUCCAUCCUUCCACCAUCCAUCUAUUCAUCUACCAUCCAUCCACUAUCCAUCUAUCCAUCCAUCCAUCCAUCAUCCAUCUACCAUCUAUCAAUCCAUCCACCAUCCAUCCAUCCAUCAUCCAUCAGUCCAUCCACCAUCUACUACCCAUCCACCAUCCAUCCAUCCACCAUCCAUCCAUGCAUCCACUAUCCAUCCACCCACCAUCCAUCCACCAUCCAUCCACCCAUCCACCCAUCCACCAUCCAUCCAUCCACUAUCCAUCCAUCCUUCCAUCAAUCCAUCCACCAUCCAUCAUCCAUCCAUCCAUCCACCUAUCCUUCCAUCAAUCCAUCCACCAUCCAUCCAUUCACCCACCAUCCAUCUAUUCAUCCACCAUCCAUCCACUAUCUAUCCAUCCAUCCAUCAUCCAUCUACUAUCUAUCAAUCCAUCCACCAUCCAUCCAUCAGUCCAUCCACCAUCUACCAUCCACUAUCCAUCCAUCCAUCUACUAUCCAUCCAUCAUUCACCAUCUAUCCAUCCAUCAUUCACCAUCUAUCCAUCCAUCCAUGCAUCCACUAUCCAUUCAUCCACCAUCCAUCCACCUAUCCACCAUCCAUCCAUUCACUAUCCAUCCAUCCUUCCAUCAAUCCAUCCACCAUCAUCCAUCCAUCUAUCCUUCCAUCAAUCCAUCCACCAUCCAUCCAUUCACCCACCAUCCAUCUAUCACCCAUCCAUCCAUCCACCAUCCAUCUAUUCAUCUACCAUCCAUCCACUAUCCAUCUAUCCAUCCAUCUACUAUCCAUCCAUCCACCAUCCAUCCAUCCAUCAUCCAUCUACCAUCUAUCAAUCCAUCCACCAUCUAUCCAUUCAUCAUCCAUCAGUCCAUCCACCAUCUACCAUCCACUAUCCAUCCACCAUCCAUCCAUUGACCAUCCAUCCAUCAACUAUUCAUCCAUCAUCCAUCCACCAUCCACCAAUCCAUCCACCAUCCACCAUCCAUCCAUUAUCCAUCCAUCCACCCACCAUCCAUCCAUCAUCCAUCCAUUAUCCAUCCAUCCACCAUCCAUUCAUCUACCAUCCAUCCAUCCAUCCAUCCACCUUCCAUCCAUCCAUCAUCCACCAGUCCAUCCGCCAUCCAUCUAUUCAUUUACCAUCCACUAUCCAUCCAUCCGCUAUCCAUCCAUCAUCCAUCUACCAUCCAUCAAUACAUCUACCAUCCAUCCAUCCACCCUUCAUCCAUCCAUCAUCCAUCCAUCCAUCCACCAUCCAUCCAUCAACUAUCCAUCCACCCAUCCUUCCAUCAUCCAUCACCAUCCAUCCAUCUAUCCAUCCAUCCAUUAUCCAUCCAUUAUCCAUCUGUCCAUCCACUAUCCAUCCAUUCAUCCCAGUGACACACACUCUUCUGUAAAGGGACAGAUAGUAAAUAUUUUAGGCUUUAUGAACCAUCCAGUCUCUGUUGCAACUACCAACUCUACCACUGUCUUGUGAAAACAGCUAUAGAUAGAUCAUAUGUAAGUGAAUGCAUAAGGCUGUAUU